Helianthus annuus (common sunflower) is the source of this 665-nucleotide long non-coding RNA. RefSeq lists it as uncharacterized. Lineage: Eukaryota; Viridiplantae; Streptophyta; Magnoliopsida; Asterales; Asteraceae. The transcript is spliced from 7 exons. The record is from RefSeq and is a predicted model, not a curated record.
UAUACAUUCUUUUAUUAAUGUUGUUCACAAUUAAAAAAUGCAGCUAAAAAGGCUUGCCAAACCCCGGUUGUCGAGAAACGCGUAAGCAGGCAACUAAUAUUGACAGCGGAUGCUAACACGGGCGGUCCAGCAACACGAACAAGAGGAGGUCAGCAAGCGCAGUGUGCUAAGAAGGUGCAAAAAAGGAAGCUAAUAAUUUCACCGGACAGUGAUUUAGACACCCCCAGGCAAAACAUGGAGAAAUUAAAAAAAGUUGACGGCAAUGCGGGCGGUCCAGCAACACGUACCAGAGGAGGUUAGCAAUCACGGGCGCAUAGCAAAACAAAGAAAUUUGUCAUAAGGAAGCUAAUAAUUUCAGUGGACAGUGACUCAGGGAGGACUGGAGAUUUGUUAAAUAACAACGCCUUAGGUGACAAUGGCCGUCCAGUUCAGGCAAGAAAGGAUGCAGUUGUUGUGGGAAAAACAAAAAAAGGAAAACAUGAACGAGUGAAAAGCCGAAGUGGGAAACACCCAAAAACCACGCAUAAGUGGUCUAGAAUAAAAACACAUUCAGCGUCUAUGCAUGGUUUUCGAUUUAUCUUUCCCCGAUUUUAUCUGUAACUUCAAAAAUAAAUGUUACAUACAUCAAAUAUUUUAUUUUUUUAGAAUUGUUAAAUAUGUAACUA